UAUGUUUACUGAUAAAAUUGCGCAAAAAUAAAAGGGAAACCUGCGAAAACUAGUUACUUCCGUUUAACUAAAUUUGUGUUAAAAAAAACCCAAAUGAACUACAACUGAUAGAAAAACCAUACAACGUAUUGAGCUCUUUAGGAGACUAAAUAUCUCGGCGACUAAAUUUUAACAGAAGAUCAACCAUCGAACCAGAUUUUAGCUGAAAACUUGAAGACAGAAAAGAGAAAAACUCUCUUGCCAUCAAGCUGGCCAGCAAUGGGUUUGAAGAUUUACAACGUUAAAGCCCGGGGCUCGAUUCAUCGUGAAGGGCAGGAAACAGAUAAUCUACUGUAUAGCUUUGCGAUAUAAUAACCUAAAACCAUAUUUAUUCAGAUACAUGUAUGUAUAAGCAGUGAUAAAACAUUGAUAAUAAUAAACAGUUUAACUGGAA
This is a long non-coding RNA of Limulus polyphemus (Atlantic horseshoe crab), 433 nucleotides long. RefSeq lists it as uncharacterized. The record is from RefSeq and is a predicted model, not a curated record. Lineage: Eukaryota; Metazoa; Arthropoda; Merostomata; Xiphosura; Limulidae. The transcript has 2 exons.